RNAcentral lists this transfer RNA (68 nucleotides) under Typhlatya arfeae. RNAcentral's name for it is "tRNA-Ile". The record is from RNAcentral. Lineage: Eukaryota; Metazoa; Arthropoda; Malacostraca; Decapoda; Atyidae.
AAUAGUGUGCUUGAUAAAAAAGGUCGUCUUGAUAGGGCGAAAAAUGAGAGCCCACCUCUCCACUAUUA